UUCUCUUUACUUUCCCCCAAUUCAGAUUACCCCCGAACGUUUGGUUCCCCAAACUUUGAAUCUCCAAAUCCCCUAAAAUUUCCCUGAAUUGGAUAUCCUCAAAUCGAUUUCUCAGAAUCCCCAAAUCAAAAUACCUUUGAUUUUCGCCGAAGUCCUUUUGAUUUGCUCUGCUAAAAAUAUCAGUAGUUUUCCUAUAACCCUUAACCUCAUCUAUUUCCCAAAUUUUUUUUCUGUGAAUCUUCUUUGUAUCUUGCAUUCACCGGCAGUCUCCAGGAAGCUAUUGUCGUCAGAUCAGCUAAAAACUAUAGCCUGAAGUUCAAACAUUAAAAAUUUGCAGACGACAAUCUGCAAUGGUCCCAAAUGAAUAAGCCUGCCUGCCUGCCUGCAGAUGGUGCACCCUCAACACUUGUAUUUAACGCUUAUUAAGAGAGUAAGAUGGCAUCCUCUUUCAUAGCCAUGUCAUAAGUUGGCUCAUUCGUGGCACCUAAUGGUCUGGUCAUGGAUAAGAAGCUUUCAUCAUCUUCCAAUAGAUUGUCAUCUUUAGCUUCCAUUUAUUCUUUUUCAUUUCUUAGUAGACGAAAUGUUGUUCUUAGAAGAUCUCGUCUGCCCAAGAUUUCUGCAGCAAAAGAGCUACAUUUCAAUAAGAUGGGUCAGCCAUAAAGAAAUUACAAGAAACUGAAAUAAUGAAUAGAUUGAGCAUAUUCAUUAUUGAGAAUGAUGUUGCACUGCUGAUAUGGUGGCUACUUCAGCAAUAAAUUGACUCUUUUCUUGGUGAGAUGCUACUGAUAAUGUACCCUACAAGGUUGGAGCUCAAACUGAAACAGAGCUUAAAGAAAAGAAAUUAAGAGUAGAAGAUGCUCUUAAUGCAACUAAGGCAGUAGUUGAGGAAGGUAUUGUUGUCGGUGGUGGAUGUACUUUGCUGAGACUUGCUUCUAAGGUAGAUGCUAUCAAGGAUUCACUUGAUAAUGAUGAAGAAAAGCAAAGGCAGUAGAAGAUAUGGUGUUAUUGAAUGUGAUCCACUAGUUCGAAAAGGACUUGAGAAAACUGUUUGAGUUUUUGUUGGAUACAUGGUCCAGGAUUAGCUGAAUUUAUGUAUAGUGACGAUUUGUUUGAGCUAACUACUGAUCUUAAAGUAUGCAUUCUAUUGUUAUUUUGUUCUAUUUGUAUUUUGUUAGAUUUCUGGUGUAGUUUGAUAAGUGGGGUAUUUUGUUUUAUUGUUAUUGAUAAACUUUUUGUUUGGUGGGAUAUAUAUCUAUAUCAUAGAUAUUAUUCUUCUUCUCAAUAUUUUGAUAAUGAAUUUUAAUUUUUUUA
Molecule: long non-coding RNA, 1311 nt
Organism: Gossypium arboreum
Lineage: Eukaryota; Viridiplantae; Streptophyta; Magnoliopsida; Malvales; Malvaceae
Exons: 7
Source: RefSeq, a predicted model, not a curated record